UACGUAGGGUGCAAGCGUUGUCCGGAAUUACUGGGCGUAAAGCGUGCGCAGGCGGUUUUGUAAGUCAGAUGUGAAAUCCCCGGGCUUAACCUGGGAACUGCGUUUGAAACUACAAGGCUAGAGUGUGGCAGAGGGGGGUGGAAUUCCACGUGUAGCAGUGAAAUGCGUAGAGAUGUGGAGGAACACCGAUGGCGAAGGCAGCCCCCUGGGUCAAGAUUGACGCUCAUGCACGAAAGCGUGGGGAGCAAACAGG
RNAcentral lists this ribosomal RNA (253 nucleotides) under uncultured bacterium. RNAcentral's name for it is "partial 16S ribosomal RNA". It matches the Rfam family "Bacterial small subunit ribosomal RNA", at positions 524 to 776 of the family's 1533-position model. The record is from RNAcentral.